GCUUACGGCCAUACCACCCUGUCUGCACCCGAUCUCGUCUGAUCUUGGCAGCUGAGCAGGGUCGGGCCUGGUUAGUUCUUGGAUGGGAGACUACCUGGGAAUACCAGGUUCUGUAAGCU
RNAcentral lists this ribosomal RNA (119 nucleotides) under Sinocyclocheilus anshuiensis. The record is from RNAcentral. Lineage: Eukaryota; Metazoa; Chordata; Actinopteri; Cypriniformes; Cyprinidae.